AGCCCAUUAGUCUAAUGGUUAUGACGUCAGAUUUUCAUUCUGGAAAUAGGGGUUCAAUUCCCCUAUGGGCUA
Molecule: transfer RNA, 72 nt
Filed under: Candidatus Shikimatogenerans bostrichidophilus
Lineage: Bacteria; Pseudomonadati; Bacteroidota; Flavobacteriia; Flavobacteriales
Description: tRNA-Glu
Rfam family: tRNA
About the family: Transfer RNA (tRNA) molecules are approximately 80 nucleotides in length. Their secondary structure includes four short double-helical elements and three loops (D, anti-codon, and T loops).
Source: RNAcentral